CGAGGGUCGACGGCAGCCACUCACUUUUGCUGUCGGAGACUUUGUGUUUGUGAGCAAGACUGCACAAAUCACCGGCAAACUGGACUCCGGCAUGCGCGGGCCUUACAAGGUUAUUCGCGCGUUACCGUGCCACCGUUAUGAGUUAGAGCUACUAGCUGGUUCCUAUGGGAAAAAGACCCAAGCUGCAGCUGAAAAUAUGAUGUUGUGGCAAGGCGAGUGGACGCCGGAUGCGUGCUCAGUUUUUUUUGAGACUGAGACUGCAUUAGACAAUAAUGAGCAGGUUGCAAGGGAUGAAACAAAUGAAGAGAGAAAUGGCUCUGAUGCUAGUGGUGCAAGUAAUGCUGCGGUCGAGGACGCCGCACUGUCAGGAACGGCCGUCUUAUAAAACAAUCUCCACAGAGCAAGUCGGACCGAGUGAGGGGUAACAGAGAGGAGUGGAACUGGGAACACCGGAAAUGUGGCGAUUGGCGCGCGGACGUGACAGACGCGGGAGUUUUUUUGUUAUUUAUGGUGGCGUUGUGUAAAAGAUUGUCUUCUGGUUGCGUAUAAUUUUCAUUGUGGUAUUUUAGUUAAUUAAAAAUUGUUUUGUAAGGAAUAAAACUUCCUAGGUUGAGUG
Pieris napi is the source of this 616-nucleotide long non-coding RNA. RefSeq lists it as uncharacterized. NCBI's taxonomy places the organism in Eukaryota, Metazoa, Arthropoda, Insecta, Lepidoptera, Pieridae. The record is from RefSeq and is a predicted model, not a curated record. The transcript is spliced from 2 exons.